Molecule: long non-coding RNA, 726 nt
Organism: Crotalus tigris (Tiger rattlesnake)
Lineage: Eukaryota; Metazoa; Chordata; Lepidosauria; Squamata; Viperidae
Exons: 3
Source: RefSeq, a predicted model, not a curated record
CGGAACCAAAAGAGCCCUGUUUUUUUCCUUUUGCCUACAAAAAAAAGGUUUACUCAGCAUGUACAACCGAUGGUACUUUAAGCUGGAAACUCUGGUGCUCCCUCACCGGCAAUUAUGAUACAGAUUACAAGUGGAGAUACUGUGAGCCUUCAGAUUUACCAAGUGAAGACCCAUGAAGACUGAAACAAGUAACUAAUAAUCUGCCGCUUAGAUUACAAAAUCAUCCAACCAAUAGCUUGGACAUCUGUGAUUUCUACUACUCUGUGUUAAUUUGGGAGCAGGAUUUAACCCAUCUAUUUCUGAUUCUAGUUUAUUUUCAUUGAUACCACAAGUGAAAUCUUUUAGAAGCCACUGGUCUGUAUUUCACUCGGGAUCUUGAUGUUGUGGAUGAUUCACAUCAGCACUAAUAAUAUUUUCUUAGACUUUUAGUUAUGUGAAGAGUAGUGCUUAAAUGAGAUUGAAUGCUUGAGUGUGGGGUUCUGAAUUAGACUUUGAUUAAUCACAUCUAGCUUAACUUAUAAAAUAGAUAUAAUACUUAAAAUUAAACUCUUUAUACUUUAUAUCUCCCUGCUGAUGUGGUUAUAUGUCUGUGUAUUUUCUAUACAUUUGCUUAAUCCCCUAAUGAUUCACACAUUAUUUUUUAAUCCAGCACAUUGCUGGUUAUUUAAUUAUUUUAAAAAUAUAACAAGUUUUUAAACCUUUGAUUAUACAGAAGAGUUUAAGGAA